GCAUUUUUUGGCCUAUAAGUUCAAAAACACGCGUGUUUUUACUCAAAUACAAAUUACCCACCUAAAUUCCCCCAUUCUCUUCUCUCAUACGGACCUAAACUGACAGUACCGGACCACAACCGGAAACCGUCGGGAGCCACCAGACCACCGCCUGAAACACCAAACCAUCGGCUCCAUAUUUGCUCCUUCACGAUCUCCCCAACCUCUAAUCCUCCCACAAUCGGAAGCCAACUCCUCAUCCUUCUUCUCCGGAGAAAUGUUGCACCGGCCACCUGAACAAAUCGCCAAAUCAUCAUACCGUCGUCGGAAACCACUAGGCAGCGGCUGGGAACCACCAAAUCGCCGUCAGACACCAGCAGCUCUAGAUUUAUUCGUUCGCCACCUCCCUCCGCCUCUACUCCUCUUAUAAUCAGAAACUACCACCUCCACCUUCUUCUCCGACGAAAUAUUGUGGCAACCUCCUAAAAAUAUUACUCAGCUUCUCGUCUCAACUUCUUAAACCUUCUCUUUUUGUCAUUCCUCUCUCCUGAACGACCGUCAUGAAGCACCAACACGAACCGCUGCUCUGAGCCACGAUUUGGUUUGUUGGAGAAGCUAAAGUGGAUCCGUUUUCAUAAGAUCUGAAGCAUAUGUACUUCAGCAAUCAUGAAAUUUUCCGCCCUCAACUAUUAAAUCUAGGGCAAAAUACCACCAGAUCUAGAGCAACCACAUCUAAUUUCGUUUGAUAAACAGUUAGGGAAGGAAAUGGAUUUGUCUUCGUGAUUGAAAUUGAGGAAGGGGGAGCAAUUCUCCUUGUGCAUCGACGCCAACACCAAAUUAUGUAUAAAAUUAGGGAAUGCAGGUGUUUAGAGGGAAGACCUAGUGAUCCAUGAACGUACUCUUAUGCUUAACGCCUUGUACGUUGGGAGUUUCUACCAGUUCUCCCAAAUAAGGAAAAGGCUCGACAAAGUGAUAACGUUUUCGGAAAGGAAAGGAUCUAUCUUGCUUAUGCUAGCUAAUUUCCAAGUUCAAGUAGGUGAGUUACACUAACUCUCCUAUUAUGUAGGCAUUACUUAUUUUAUGUUAGUGUUCACGGAUACCCUAAUCCGGUAGAGUGAACAAGGAAAGGUAGAAUGUAGGUUGUUUUCUAGUAAGAAAAGCAGUCAAUAUUCGUUUAUGCAUUCUCGAUUCUUUAAUUGUUCUCGUGUAUUAAAUCACAUGUGAUUAUAUGAUCUAAUCAUAUAUGACGUAUAUGCACAAGAUUCAUUUUUUUGUUUUUGAUUCAAUAGUUGUUCUUUGUUCAUAUUAAUUGUAUGUGAUUAAAUACAUAAAAUAACAUAUGAUUAAAUACAUGAUAACAACUAUUAAAUUGAGAACGCAAAUUUUAAUCUUAUUCACAUAAAUCAUAUGUGAUUAGAUAUGUAUAAUCACAUGUGAUUAAAUACACGAGAACAACUAUUGAAUCGAGAACACGAAAAUAAAUAUCGCCCACAUAAAUCGUAUGAGAUUUGAUACAUAUAAUAACAUGCGAUUGUGUGUAUCUUAUCACAUAUGAUUUAUGUGGCUAAGAUUCAUUUUCGCGUUCUCGAUUCAAUAAUUGUUUUUUUCGACUUUAAUCAUACGUGAUUAAAUUCAUUUAAUCAUAUGUGAUUAGAUAUAUACAAUCACAUGUAAUUAUAUACACAAUAACAAAUAUUGAACCAAGAACACAAAAAAAAUAUUUUCCCAAAUUAAUCAUAUGUGAUUAAAUACACAUAAUCACAUGUGAUUAUAUGAAUCUAAUCACAUAUGAUUUAUGUGGACAUAAUUCAUUUUUGCUUUGUCGAUUCAAUAAUUGUUCUCAUGUAUUUUAUCACAUGUGAUUAUAUGUAUAAUCGUAUAUGAUUGAGUACAUGAGCACAACUAUUGAAUCGAGAAGGAAAAAAUUAAUCUUGUCCACCUCAAGUCAUAUGCGAUAAUAUACAUAUAAUCAUAUGUGAUUAAAUAUACAAAAGCAAUUAUUCAAUCGAAACUGCAAAAAUAAAUAUUGUCUACAUAAAUCAUAUCUGAUUAAAUACAUAUAAUCACAUGUGAUUAUAUAUAUCCAAUCAUAUAUGAUUUAUGUGGAUGAGAUUCAUUGUCACAUUCUUGAUUCAGUAAUUCUUCUUUGUACACUGUAAUCAUAUGUGGUUAUAUGUAUCCAAUCACAUAUGAUUUAUAUAGACAAAAAAUAAUGAUGUCUAUAUAAAUCAUAUGUGAUUAGAUACAUAUAAUCACAUAUGAUUAUAUACACGACAACAACUAUUGAAUCGAGAACACAAAGAUAAAAUUGUCCAUAUAUAUAUCAUGUGUGAUUAAAUGCAAAUAAUCACAUGUGAUUAAGUACAUGAAUACAACUAUUGAAUUGAGAAAGAAAUAAUGAAUCUUGUCCAUAUAAAUCAUAUGUGAUUAAAUAUAUAAAAUAACAUAUGAUGAAAUACAUGAUAACUAUUGAAUUGAGAACGGAAAUUUUAAUCUUAUUCACAUAAAUCAUAUAUGAUUAGAUAUGUAUAAUCACAUGUGAUUAAAUACACGAGAACAACUAUUGAAUCUAGAACACGAAAAUAAAUAUCGCCCACAUAAAUCGUAUGAGAUUGGAUACAUAUAAUAACAUGUGAUUGUGUGUAUCUUAUCACAUAUGAUUUUCGUGGCUAAGAUUCAUUUUCGCAUUCUCGAUUCAAUAAUUGUUUUUUUCCACUUUAAUCAUACGUGAUUAAAUUUAUUUAAUCAUAUGAGAUUAGAUAUAUACAAUCACAUGUAAUUAUAUACAUAAUAAGAAAUAUUGAACCAAGAACACAAAAACAAAUAUUUUUCAAAAUUAAUCAUAUGUGAUUAAAUACACAUAAUCUCAUGUGAUUAUAUGAAUCUAAUCACAUAUGAUUUCUGUGGACAUAAUUCAUUUUUGCUUAGUCAAUUCAAUAGUUGUUCUCAUGUAUUGUAUCACAUGUGAUUAUAUGUAUAAUCGUAUGUGAUUGAGUACAUGAGCUCAACUAUUGAAUCGAGAAGGCAAAAUUUAAUCUUGUCCACCUCAAGUAAUAUGUGAUGAUAUACAUAUAAUCAUAUGUGAUUAAAUAUACAAAAGCAAUUAUUCAAUCGAAACCACAAAAAUAAAUAUUGUCUACAUAAAUCAUAUCUAAUUACAUACAUAUAAUCACAUGUGAUUAUAUUUAUCCAAUCAUAUAUGAUUUAUAUGGAUGAGAUUCAUUGUCACAUUCUCGAUUCAAUAAUUGUUCUUUGUCCACUGUAAUCAUAUGUGAUUAUAUGUUUCCAAUCACAUAUGAUUUAUAUGGACAAAAAUAAUCAUGUCUAUCUAAAUCAUAUGUGAUUAGAUACAUAUAAUCACAUAUGAUUAUAUACACGAGAACAACUAUUGAAUCGAGAACACAAAGAUAAAUAUUGUCCACAUAUAGCAUGUGUGAUUAAAUGAAAAUAAUCACAUGUGACUAAGUACAUGAGUACAAUUAUUGCAUUGAGAAAUAAAUAAUGAAUCUUGUCCACAUAAAUCAUAUGUGAUUAGGUACAUAUAAUCCCAUAUGAUUAUAUGUAUUUAAUCACAUAUGAUUUAUGUGGACAAUAUUCAUUUUUGAAAUGACCAAUCGGUGGUGGAAAAGGAGAUGGGGAUGUAUAGCGGUGGUGGUGGUGGUGGAGGAGCUUAGGUGGGUGGUGGUGAUGGGUGGUGGGUGAUGAGUGGCGGGUGGUUGUUGGUGUUGGUGGGUGGUGGUUGUGAUGGGUGGUGGUGGUGGUGGCGGGUGGUGGUGGGAGGUGGUUAGUAGUGGUUGUGGUUGUAGGUGAUGGGUGAUGGUUGUGGUGGAUGGGUGGUGGUGGUAGCGAGUGGUGGUGGGUGGUGUGUAGUGAUGGGUGGUGGUUGGUGGUGGUGGUGAGUAGUGAUGGGUGGUGGUGGUUUGAUGGUGAUGGUGGUGGGUGGUGAUGGUUGUAGCGAGUAGUGGUUGGUGGUGGUGAUGGGUGGGUGGUGGGUAGUGAUGGGUGGUGGUGGUUAGUGAUCGGUGGUGGUGGUGGUGGGAGAUGGUAAUGGGUGGUAGGUAGUGAUUGUGGGUGGUGGUGGUGGUGGGUGGUGGAAGUGGGUAGAGGUGGUUGGGUGGUGAUGGUGGUAGCGGGUGGUGGUGGUGGUGGUGGUGGUGGUGGGUGGUGGGUGGUGGAUAUGUUGGGUGGCAGGUAGUGGUCGUGGCGGGUAGUGGGUGGUGGUGAUUGUGGUGAUGGGUGUUGGAGGUGGGUGGUGGUGACGGGUGGUGGUGGUGGCGGGUGGUGGUGGUCGUGGCGGGUGGUGGUGGCUAGUGAUGGGUGGUGGGUGGAGGGUGGUGGUUGGUGGUGGUGGAUAGUGAUGGGUGGUGGUGGCGGGUGGUGGUGAUGGGUGGUAGAGGUGGGUGGUGGUAGUUGGGUGGUGAUGGUUGUGGCUGGUGGUGGUGGUGGUAGUUAAGAUGGAAUACCCUUAACUACCAAUCAACCAUGUGCACAUAUAUCAGAUGCAACAGUAACAGGAAUGGUUAACAAAAUGCUAUAUGCAAUAAAAGUAUUUGGGUAACAAUCAACAGCUUACAUAAUCCAAAAUUUCAACAGCGGAAAUUAUAUCAUUAGGUAAAGUCAUUUUCAACACUUUCAAUUCUGAAAAAUGUUCACUUUUGAAUCCACAUCAGAAACAUUAUCUUUAGAAAAAGUAGUAGCAAACUUUAUACAACUUUCUUUAAGUUCACUUUCACUUAAUGCCUUUAAUUUCUUUGAAUCAUUUAAAAACCCAAAAAUACUUUCAAAGUUUUUUAAUUGUUCAAAUCUAUUUUUUAAUGAAACAAUUGCCAUAUCCACAACAACCAAAAAAUAAUUAACUUUUAAAUACUCUUCAACCGAUUAUGUUUCUUCUUCAUGAUCACUUUCAUCAAAUUGCUUUUUUCUAACAAUACGACGUUUUGAUGGAAAUGUUGGCUCCACACCCAUAUCUAGUGCAAUAGUUUUAGCAACAUUCACACUUGAUGUAAAACCUUCAUUUCUAUAUUUUUCAAAAAACUUCAUAAUAUUUUCUAUUUGGUUAAUAGUAGUGUCAAUACAAAUAGAUUUAGAUUGCAACUUUUUACUUAUAAUAUUUAUAGCAAAUAAAACUUCAUACCAAAUAACCAUACCAACUAAAAAUUCAAAUUUCCAAAAAGAUUUAAGUAAGCUUUUAGCUUCACUUUUUGACUUAGGGUCAUCACAUGCUUUACAUAAUUUUAGCAAAGCAACUUUUAUUUUAGGAGCUUGAAAUCUAAUUGCUUUUAUACUUUUAAUCCUACUUUCCCAACGAGUAUUAGAUAAUGAUUUUAAGGUUAAAGUUGGAACAUUAUCUAACAAUAUUUUCCAUUUUUUUGUAGAACUAGAAAAUAAUGUAUAAAGGCGUUGCACGAUUCCAAAAAAAAGAAACAGCUUUUUCACAAGAAAGUGCCAUAUCACUAACCGUAAGGUUAAGACUAUGGCAAACACAAGGCAUAUAUAAAGCUCUAGGAUUAAUUUCAAGCAUUCUUUUUUGAACCCCUUGGUGUUUUCCUUUCAUAUUAGACUCAUUAUCAUAACCUUUACCCCUUAUAUCAUCCACAUUAAGAUCUAACAAUUUCAAUGCAUCUAACAAUUCAUUCAAAAAUCCCAAACCCGAAGUAUCAUCUACUUUUAAAAAUUCUAAAAAAUAUUCAACAACUUGUAUUUUUUAGAAGAAAAAUUCACACAUCGUACAAUCAAAGCCAUUUGUUCUUGAUGACUCACAUCGGGAGUACAAUCAAGAAUUAUAGAAAAAUAUUUUGCCUCUUUAACUAUUUUAAUGAUAGAAUUUCUAACCGUGUCACCUAAAAGAGAAAUUAGUUCAUUUUGAAUUUUAUAGCCAAGACAAUGAUAAUGAGUUUCAUUAUUUUCAAUUAUUCUUAUAUGAUCUUGCAUUAUACCAUCAUAUUCAACCAUCAUUUGGAUUACUCCUAAAAAGUUAUCUUGAAAAAGUUUUUCAUUAGACCCUCGAAAAGCCAAAUUAUAUUUAGAUAAGAAUUUCACAGCCGCUAUUAUUCUUCUUAAUACUUGUCUCCAACGUUAUUUUUCUUUUAUUAUUUCUUGUUGUAAUUCGUUAUCAAUUGUAAGGUUUUUAUCUAAUCUUAGUUUUGCUUCAUUCCAAUUACUGAUACAAACAAAAUGUUCAUUACUAUUUUCAUGUUCUUUAAGUCUCUCACUAAGAUGUUUCCAAUCAUUAUAUCCUUCAUUUGUUAAAAACUUUUUUGAUUAGUACAUUUAAAUAUUUUACAACAAAAACAAAAAACUUUAUCUAAAUUUUUAUUGUAUACAUUUCGAUCACGUGACAAACCAUUAUUUAACUUUCUAGUAUAAAAUGCAUAAGAAAAAUGUCUAGAAAAUUUAUCUUUAGGAAACACAGAUUCAUUUCUCUUAUUGGCCAUUUUUCAAUUAAAAUAUCUCUUGAUUUAAUAUCAAGAGAAUCUCAAUUUCUAGGGUCAAAAAUAUCUAUAGAUUCAUUUAAAUUAGUAUUUUCUUCAUUUAUAUUAGUAUCAUGUUCAUUUAAAUUAAUAUUUUCUUCAUUCAAAUUAUUAUCAUGUUCAUUUAAAUUAAUGUUUUCUUCAUUAACAAUAGCAAAGUGAGAAUUGAGAUUUAAGAAUUGAGAAACCGGAAACCAAAUAUAUCUAUUAUCUAGAGUCGAGACAAUUAGCCGUUAGAGAUUAAAGACUGUGAUUUGUGAGAGAAAUUGAUGGGACGAUUCAGUAUCAGGGACGUGAGGCGUCGUCGCGUCGAUUCAAUUACCUGGCACCCUAAUCUCGAUUUCCCAUAUUCCCCGCUACCUUCCUUGGUAUGGUUCCUAUUUGAUAAUUCAUUAUUCAUGGAAAUCAAAAUCACGUUCAACUUCAGCGACAUAAAGAUCAAGCGGCUUAGCAGCCUUAUUAAUUUGUUUGGGCCGUAUUAAUUUUUUUGGGACUUGGGUCAAUGUGAUUUUGGACUGGACAUUUGACUAAUUUUGGGCCCUAAGGAAAUAUAUAGAUAAAUUAAAGUUAUAUACAUACACACUAUAUAUUUUAGAAUUUUUGGGCCCCCUUGAGUCAUAGGCCUAGGGCGGUCGUACGGGUCGCCCACCGUCAGGACCGGCCCUGAUACUUGGUGACCGAUUAUAUUCUCCUUCUCACCAGAAAAAUAAACCUAUAAAUCGAAAGGAAAAAUGAACAAAAUCCAAGCCCGUAAAUCUAAAAAAAUAUAGAAAAAAAAACAAUGGUUUUAAGGGUACCCCUAAAGUUUUAGUGUACUUUAUAGCAUAAAAGUUGACACAAAGUCAUUCGCAGUCAGUUUCCAUCUUUAGGCCUCCAUCAUAUCCCUUUCAUCUUCACUUAAACCAAGUUCAUGUUAUAACUUCUACAUUAAUAGAGAGAUAUUAUUAGUCAAAAAUCAGUUUGAAACCCAUAAAACUUAAAGAUUUAAAAAAAAUAUAUAUUCUAGUUGAAAUACUAUAAAAAUAUUAUACAUUCAACACAUUUUGAAGUCAAGUUGAAGCUCUCGACAUCUUCAUCUAUAGCUUUACCUAGAAACAUGACCUUACUAGUCCCAUUAAGUCCAUAAACAACUAACACGAACUGAAAUAAAAUAAAAUAAAGACAUUGUUAUUAAAGUUUUCAUUGUGUUACCUGGUGAGUUAAAAAAAAUGGUGUGAUAAAAUCAAUUGAAUGAUUCUUAUUUCUUGGCUAUAACUUCUACUACAUAGAACCUCUCUCAUGUAAAAGCACUCACUUCCAAUAUAUAAACACCAUGCACAAGAAAAUAACAAAUAUUAAUUUCAAUCCAUAAUUAAAAUAGUAUUUUCUUACCAUAGUAAUUGAAUUAUGUCAGAAAUUACAAGGAUGGCUGGUAAAAUCUUUGGUAAUGAAAACAUUCAUUCUUCCCCUGUUUCAAUAAAACUCUGAUUCAAAAGCUUGAAAAAACCCACAAAUGGCAUGUUUUACUAUAAUCUUUGGUAACCAAGCUUGUCCUAAGUUUGAAAGGAUAAUUUGAUCUUGCGAAAGAAAAUAAAAAAGGGAUGUAUGUCAUUUCAUGCAUUGUAUAGUAAUUAAAGUUACAAAUUUGUAGACAUCUUGUGCCUCCCAGCUUACAUCAGCAUUACUGAAAGUUUAAGAAGAUAUAUGUAAUUUACUUUUUGACCAA
This is a long non-coding RNA of Lactuca sativa (garden lettuce), 8154 nucleotides long. RefSeq lists it as uncharacterized. NCBI's taxonomy places the organism in Eukaryota, Viridiplantae, Streptophyta, Magnoliopsida, Asterales, Asteraceae. The record is from RefSeq and is a predicted model, not a curated record.